Molecule: ribosomal RNA, 253 nt
Filed under: uncultured bacterium
Lineage: Bacteria
Description: partial 16S ribosomal RNA
Rfam family: Bacterial small subunit ribosomal RNA
Source: RNAcentral
GACAGAGGGGGCAAGCGUUGCUCGGAAUUACUGGGCGUAAAGGGCGCGUAGGCGGGAUGGCAAGUCGGUCGUGAAAUCCCUCGGCUCAACCGAGGAACGUCGAUCGAUACUGCUGUUCUUGAGGAUUGCAGAGGAGACUGGAAUUCCCGGUGUAGCGGUGAAAUGCGUAGAUAUCAGGAGGAACACCGGUGGUGUAGACGGCUUUCUGGACCGUAACUGACGCUGAGACACGAAAGCGUGGGUAGCAAACAGG